Molecule: long non-coding RNA, 954 nt
Organism: Haliotis rufescens (red abalone)
Lineage: Eukaryota; Metazoa; Mollusca; Gastropoda; Lepetellida; Haliotidae
Exons: 2
Source: RefSeq, a predicted model, not a curated record
CCGGUUGUAUCAAACUUUAAUGAUGCAUUAACGUGUCAUUAAACCUUCAUUAACUAAUGUAUUAUUAAAUCCAGUUGUACUAACGUUUUAAUGACGUCGUGGUGUCAUUAGCGCGUCAUUAACCCUUUCGCCCCGACUGCCCGAUUUAUUGGGCAGCAUAAACCGUGUCCCAGUACCCGGCUGCCCGAAAAAUCGGGCGGCUACUGUCCAAGCCCCACACACGGCUGCCCGAUAAAUCGGGCGGCGCGACCGUGUUUACAAAAUCGCUCUUUCAACUUCCUUUCUCGUGUGUAAUCUCGUUCUAAAUAUGGAAACGAGAUUUACAUGUGACUGACACGUCAUUCGCUGGAAUUUCCCAGUCUUUUUGGCGCGAAAAUCGCGAAUGUCACCUGUUUUCGCGACAGGUAUUUUUCUCGCUUGAAUCGUAAAUCUAGCGUAAUGGCGGCCAACUACGAUUCGGAUAGCGAUCAGAUGACUAACAACGACUCUAUCGGGUAUAAUAAUGUGUUUUAUUUGAAUAAUUUACGUGAAGGGGAGAGGGAAUUUCGUGAAGAUUUUGGUGAAGAUUUUGACGGUUUCGACGAGGUGUCCCCCCCCCGCCAACUUUCAAGAAUGGGAGUGGCAGAGGGACCACAACGGUGGAGACAUGAGAGAUUUUGAAGAGGCGACCGGAAUCAAGAAUAUAUAUUGACACGGUGAGUGAAAUAUCGUGCUAUUGAUUUUUUCCAACUGUUUUACAAUGAUUCUGUGUUUGAACAGAUUAUCAGUGCGACGAAUGAGAAUGCAGCCUACAGGUGAACGAGCGAUCACAACAACAACAAAGAUGUGCAUGAAGAGAAUUUACCUGUAACACCUGGGAUUACCUGCGCCGUCCAAGAUGACAAGACCACUGUGUUAUGUUUACCUUGUAUCUGUGAUUUAUUUUUGUGAUUUUUAAUACAAUUUGAGCCAAAA